UACGGAGGAUCCGAGCGUUAUCCGGAUUUAUUGGGUUUAAAGGGUGCGCAGGCGGGAGAUUAAGUCGGCGGUGAAAUUUUGCAGCUCAACUGUAAAAGUGCCUUCGAAACUGGUUUCCUUGAGUGUAGAUGAAGUAGGCGGAAUUUGUGGUGUAGCGGUGAAAUGCAUAGAUAUCACGAGGAACUCCGAUUGCGCAGGCAGCUUACUAAACUACUACUGACGCUCAGGCACGAAUGCGUGGGGAUCAAACAGGAUUAGAUACCCCU
This 266-nucleotide ribosomal RNA is filed under the name uncultured prokaryote. RNAcentral's name for it is "partial 16S ribosomal RNA". It matches the Rfam family "Bacterial small subunit ribosomal RNA", at positions 524 to 788 of the family's 1533-position model. The record is from RNAcentral.